GCCUUCCCAGGUGACCUCCUGCAGCUCAGUUUCCCUUGUGUGGAAUGAACUCAGCCUCCUAGACCUGCUAAUGAGCUACAAUGAUUGCCAGAUCAAAGGGUGUUUGGGAACAUUUCCGGCCUUACCAGUGAGGUGGAGAAAAAGCAGGCAAAGCAAGGUGAUUUAGAAAAUGCCACUUUACCUGUUGAACCAAAGAGCCAGAAGUUGAACUCAUAGAAAUCCGACUGAGAUUACCCCGUGGUGCACAGUAAAUAGUACAAUUCCUUUCUCACCUAGGCCACCAAGUCUUGUCCCUAGGAGAAUCCAGAUUAUAUCCAAAUUUCCUUCUGAUUUCCUUCCAUCUGUGAUAACUUCAUUGUUCUGUCCCUGGAGAUGAGCUAGAUCCAGAGUUCCCAAAUGCUGGUCUAUGGACCAAUGCUGACACAUGACAAGGUUUUUAUUCAUUAAAUGAGAACAAUAAGGAUACUGUAAAGAAUCUUUCAGAGUUCAAUGUAUUUCAUUUAAAGGGCUUUUCUUCUGAGAUGAUAUCAUUGAAAUGUAAGCUCCAAGAGGGUAAGGACUUCGAUGAUAUUCUUUUUCUCUGGUUUCCAAUACCUAGAAGAAUACCUGCAUGUAAGAGGCACUUAAUCAAUAUUUGUUGAAUGAAUGAAGGAAAAAUUUUUCCUUUUUAUUUUCCUGGGAUUAAAAUAUCCUUUCUUUAAUGAAAUGGUAUCGAAAGUAAGUGGUGGGAGGUUUUGAAAACUUUUUUCCUAUGGAAAAAUAAAAGUAUAUAAUUAUUUUUAAAAGGCUAUUGAUCUUUAAGUUUGAGAAUUUCUAGACUAGAUGAUCCAUUAAGGACCAUUUCAUCUUAUGAUCCAUCAGACAGAGUGGGAACACAUUCAAAGCCCUUUAGUUAAAUCAUAGCAGGCCACACACGGUCCCAGCACGUUGGGAAGCUGAGGCAGACAGAUCACUUGAGGUCAGGAUUUCGAGAUCAGCCUGGCCAACACGGUGAAACCCUGUCUCUACUGAAAAUACAAAAAUUAGCCGGGCGUGGUGGUGCACGCCUGUAGUUCCAGCUAUUCAGGAGGCUGAGGCACGAGAAUCACUUGAACCCAGGAGGCGGAGGUGGCAGAGAGCUGAGAUCUGGCCACUGUACUCAGCUUGGGUGACACAGCAAGACUGUCUCAAAAAAAAAAAGAAAAGAAAAGAAAAGAAAAAA
This 1201-nucleotide long non-coding RNA is filed under the name Macaca fascicularis (crab-eating macaque). RNAcentral describes it as "lncRNA (ENSMFAG00000057728.1)". Lineage: Eukaryota; Metazoa; Chordata; Mammalia; Primates; Cercopithecidae. The record is from RNAcentral.